Molecule: ribosomal RNA, 253 nt
Filed under: uncultured bacterium
Lineage: Bacteria
Description: partial 16S ribosomal RNA
Rfam family: Bacterial small subunit ribosomal RNA
Source: RNAcentral
UACGUAGGGUGCGGGCGUUGUCCGGAAUUAUUGGGCGUAAAGGGCUCGUAGGCGGUCUGUUGCGUCGGGAGUGAAAACUCAGGGCUUAACCCUGAGCCUGCUUCCGAUACGGGCAGGCUAGAGGUAUGCAGGGGAGAACGGAAUUCCUGGUGUAGCGGUGAAAUGCGCAGAUAUCAGGAGGAACACCGGUGGCGAAGGCGGUUCUCUGGGCAUUACCUGACGCUGAGGAGCGAAAGUGUGGGGAGCGAACAGG